AGUGAACGCUGGCGGUAGGCCUAACACAUGCAAGUCGAACGGCAGCACAGUAAGAGCUUGCUCUUACGGGUGGCGAGUGGCGGACGGGUGAGGAAUACAUCGGAAUCUACUUUUUCGUGGGGGAUAACGUAGGGAAACUUACGCUAAUACCGCAUACGACCUACGGGUGAAAGCAGGGGAUCUUCGGACCUUGCGCGAUUGAAUGAGCCGAUGUCGGAUUAGCUAGUUGGCGGGGUAAAGGCCCACCAAGGCGACGAUCCGUAGCUGGUCUGAGAGGAUGAUCAGCCACACUGGAACUGAGACACGGCCCAGACUCCUACGGGAGGCAGCAGUGGGGAAUAUUGGACAAUGGGCGCAAGCCUGAUCCAGCCAUACCGCGUGGGUGAAGAAGGCCUUCGGGUUGUAAAGCCCUUUUGUUGGGAAAAAAAAGCAGCAGGUUAAUACCCCGCUGUUCUGACGGUACCCAAAAAAUAAGCACCGGCUAACUUCGU
This 491-nucleotide ribosomal RNA is filed under the name uncultured bacterium. Its description in RNAcentral is "partial 16S ribosomal RNA". It matches the Rfam family "Bacterial small subunit ribosomal RNA", at positions 29 to 506 of the family's 1533-position model. The record is from RNAcentral.